GACGAACGCUGGCGGCGUGCUUAACACAUGCAAGUCGAACGAAGUGGCGAACGGGUGAGUAACGCGUAAUCAACCUGCCCUUCAGAGGGGCACAACAGUUGAAAACGACUGCUAAUACCGCAUACUGAAGGCGGGGCUUGCGUGUGAUUAGGUAGUGGGAGGGGUAACGGCCCACCAAGGCGAGGGUCAGUAGCCGGUCUUGGGGGAGGAACGGCCAAAUUGGGACUGGGACAAGGCCCAGACUCCUACGGGGGGCAGCAGUGGGGAAUCUUCCGGAAUGGGAGAAAGUCUGAAGGAGCAACGCCGCGUGAGUGAUGACGGCCUUCGGGUUGUAAAGAUCUGUUAAUCGGGACGCGGUACCGGAAUAGAAAGCCACGGCUAACUACGUGCCAGCAGCCGCGGUAAUAC
Molecule: ribosomal RNA, 408 nt
Filed under: uncultured bacterium
Lineage: Bacteria
Description: partial 16S ribosomal RNA
Rfam family: Bacterial small subunit ribosomal RNA
Source: RNAcentral